GAUCAUGGCUCAGGAUGAACGCUAGCUACAGGCUUAACACAUGCAAGUCGAGGGGCAGCAGGAUCUUAGCUUGCUAAGAUUGCUGGCGACCGGCGCACGGGUGAGUAACGCGUAUCCAACUUCCCUUAGUAGGGCAUAGCCCGAUGAAAAUCGGAUUAAUACCCUAUGUUUUCCAAUGAGGACAUCUGAGCUGGAACAAAGAUUCAUCGCUAAGGGAUGGGGAUGCGUCCGAUUAGGUAGUCGGCGGGGUAACGGCCCACCGAGCCAUCGAUCGGUAGGGGUUCUGAGAGGAAGGUCCCCCACAUUGGAACUGAGACACGGUCCAAACUCCUACGGGAGGCAGCAGUGAGGAAUAUUGGUCAAUGGGCGAGAGCCUGAACCAGCCAAGUAGCGUGCAGGAUGACGGCCCUAUGGGUUGUAAACUGCUUUUAUGCGGGGAUAAAGUUCGCCACGUGUGGCGUUUUGUAGGUACCGCAUGAAUAAGGACCGGCUAAUUCCGUGCCAGCCGCGGC
This 512-nucleotide ribosomal RNA is filed under the name uncultured bacterium. RNAcentral describes it as "bacterial SSU rRNA". It matches the Rfam family "Bacterial small subunit ribosomal RNA", at positions 15 to 518 of the family's 1533-position model. The record is from RNAcentral.